RNAcentral lists this ribosomal RNA (492 nucleotides) under uncultured bacterium. RNAcentral describes it as "partial 16S ribosomal RNA". It matches the Rfam family "Bacterial small subunit ribosomal RNA", at positions 29 to 507 of the family's 1533-position model. The record is from RNAcentral.
AGUGAACGCUGGCGGUAGGCCUAACACAUGCAAGUCGAACGGCAGCACAGUAAGAGCUUGCUCUUACGGGUGGCGAGUGGCGGACGGGUGAGGAAUACAUCGGAAUCUACUUUUUCGUGGGGGAUAACGUAGGGAAACUUACGCUAAUACCGCAUACGACCUACGGGUGAAAGCAGGGGAUCUUCGGACCUUGCGCGAUUGAAUGAGCCGAUGUCGGAUUAGCUAGUUGGCGAGGUAAAGGCCCACCAAGGCGACGAUCCGUAGCUGGUCUGAGAGGAUGAGCAGCCACACUGGAACUGAGACACGGUCCAGACUCCUACGGGAGGCAGCAGUGGGGAAUAUUGGACGAUGGGCGCAAGCCUGAUCCAGCCAUACCGCGUGGGUGAAGAAGGCCUUCGGGUUGUAAAGCCCUUUUGUUGGGAAAGAAAAGCAGCAGGUUAAUACCCCGCUGUUCUGACGGUACCCAAAGAAUAAGCACCGGCUAACUUCGUG